UACGUAGGGUGCAAGCGUUGUCCGGAAUUAUUGGGCGUAAAGAGCUCGUAGGCGGUUUGUCGCGUCUGCUGUGAAAACGCGGGGCUCAACUCCGCGCCUGCAGUGGGUACGGGCAGACUAGAGUGCAGUAGGGGAGACUGGAAUUCCUGGUGUAGCGGUGGAAUGCGCAGAUAUCAGGAGGAACACCGGUGGCGAAGGCGGGUCUCUGGGCUGUAACUGACGCUGAGGAGCGAAAGCGUGGGUAGCAAACAGG
RNAcentral lists this ribosomal RNA (253 nucleotides) under uncultured bacterium. RNAcentral describes it as "partial 16S ribosomal RNA". It matches the Rfam family "Bacterial small subunit ribosomal RNA", at positions 524 to 776 of the family's 1533-position model. The record is from RNAcentral.